UACGAAGGGUGCAAACGUUGCUCGGAAUUAUUGGGCGUAAAGCGCACGUAGGCGGCUUUGCAAGUCGGAUGUGAAAUCCCUCGGCUUAACCGGGGAACUGCGUCUGAUACUGGCGAGCUUGAGUGCAGGAGAGGAACGCGGAAUUCCAGGUGUAGCGGUGAAAUGCGUAGAUAUCUGGAGGAACACCGGUGGCGAAGGCGGCAUCCUGGACCGGCAUUGACGCUGAGGCGCGAAAGCCAGGGGAGCAAACGGG
RNAcentral lists this ribosomal RNA (253 nucleotides) under uncultured bacterium. Its description in RNAcentral is "partial 16S ribosomal RNA". It matches the Rfam family "Bacterial small subunit ribosomal RNA", at positions 524 to 776 of the family's 1533-position model. The record is from RNAcentral.